Molecule: ribosomal RNA, 301 nt
Filed under: uncultured bacterium
Lineage: Bacteria
Description: partial 16S ribosomal RNA
Rfam family: Bacterial small subunit ribosomal RNA
Source: RNAcentral
CAGUCGCCGCGGUAAUACGGAGGGCGCGAGCGUUACCCGGAUUUACUGGGCGUAAAGGGCGUGUAGGCGGCCUGGGGCGUCCCAUGUGAAAGGCCACGGCUCAACCGUGGAGGAGCGUGGGAUACGCUCAGGCUAGAGGGUGGGAGAGGGUGGUGGAAUUCCCGGAGUAGCGGUGAAAUGCGCAGAUACCGGGAGGAACGCCGAUGGCGAAGGCAGCCAUCUGGGACAACACUGACGCUGAGGCACGAAAGCGUGGGGAGCAAACAGGAUUAGAUACCCGGGUAGUCCCUGUCUCUUAUAC